AUUGAACGCUGGCGGCAUGCCUUACACAUGCAAGUCGAACGGCAGCAUGGAGAGCUUGCUCUCUGAUGGCGAGUGGCGAACGGGUGAGUAAUGCAUCGGAACGUACCGUGUAAUGGGGGAUAACGUAGCGAAAGUUACGCUAAUACCGCAUAAGACCUGAGGGUGAAAGCAGGGGAUCGCAAGACCUUGCGUUAUACGAGCGGCCGAUGUCAGAUUAGCUAGUUGGGAAGGUAAAGGCUCACCAAGGCGACGAUCUGUAGCGGGUCGGAGAGGAUGAUCCGCCCCACUGGGACUGAGACACGGCCCAGACUCCUACGGGAGGCAGCAGUGGGGAAUUUUGGACAAUGGGGGCAACCCUGAUCCAGCCAUGCCACGUGAGUGAAGAAGGCCUUCGGGUUGUAAAGCUCUUUCGGCCGGGAAGAAAUCGCACAGGCUAAUACUCUGUGUGGAUGACGGUACCGGCAUAAGAAGCACCGGCUAACUACAUGCCAGCCGCCGCGGUAA
RNAcentral lists this ribosomal RNA (504 nucleotides) under uncultured bacterium. Its description in RNAcentral is "partial 16S ribosomal RNA". It matches the Rfam family "Bacterial small subunit ribosomal RNA", at positions 30 to 523 of the family's 1533-position model. The record is from RNAcentral.